RNAcentral lists this long non-coding RNA (4086 nucleotides) under Sus scrofa (pig). RNAcentral describes it as "lncRNA (ENSSSCG00035032174.1)". Lineage: Eukaryota; Metazoa; Chordata; Mammalia; Artiodactyla; Suidae. The record is from RNAcentral.
AGGACUUAUGAACAGAAGAUAUUCAAGAAUUUAAAAGAACCAUCCAGGAGGGCUGAAACUACAUUCUACCCAUCUCCUGAGAAUAGUUCUGCAAAGUGCAAAUAAAAUGACACAUCUCAAUGAAGGUAUUCAGCGAUAAGCAAGUCAAUGAGACCACAGGCUCUAUAUGAGUUUCCUCCUUUGUUGAAGCCUGGAAAGUGGCUCUGGACAGUGAACUGGUAUAAUUUUACAUCUCAUUUUGUUGUUUUUUUCUUCUCACAGGAGUAUAGUCCUUAACUACUUAUUGUCUAAUGUUUAAAAAUUGUUGUUUUAUGUAUUUGUCCAGUUUUCUAGUUGUGUAAGGCAGGACUAUAAAUCUGAUUUCUGUCCCUCCAACUGGAAAAGUUGGAUCAAAUGUCCCCCAAAUCCAUUUGUACUUUGCUAUUAAAUUUCACUUCUUUUCCUUCUUAUGUCAUUAUUUUCCAUUUAAAAUUUUCUGGGAUUUAUUAUUUUUGGUCUGUUCAAUUCUUAGGGUUUCUUCUUAUUAAAUUAAUGCCCAGUCUCUUUUGCUUUCUAGGAUAUAGGCUGUAUAUCCAGCAAGAUCAUGGUAUCAGGGGUGACAUAUUAUUAAUUUUUUUUUUUUUUGGUCUUUUUGCCAUUUCUUGGGCCGUUCCAGCGGCACAUGGAGGUUCCCAGGCUAGGGGUCUAAUCGGAGCUGUAGCCGCUGGCCUACGCCAGAGCCACAGCAACGCAAGAUCCGAGUCGCACCUGCAACCUACACCACAGCUCAUGGCAACGCCGGAUCGUUAAACCCACUGAGCAAGGGCAGGGGCUGAACCCGCAACCUCAUGGUUCCUAGUCGGAUUCGUUAACCACUGCGCCACUACGGGAACUCCUAAUUUUGAAAUAUAACAUAAAUUCUGAACAACUCAGGUGAAAAUACUUGUAUCAGAUUAUUAUCAGAUACAAGGACUGACAUAAUACUUUUAUAAAUAUUCUUGCUGAGAUUAAGCAAUUUUUAAAAAUCAAAGGCUAUUUUUCCCUCCCUGAAUGUGUUUAAAGAAAAAACAAAGUCUUUGCUUUCAAUAUUCAUGUCUUACUUAGUGCUACAUGACUCUAUUGAUGUACAGAGUAGACCUUUUUAAAAUAAUCAAGUAUCAAGUCACAUUUUAUCAGUGGCUAUUAUUCUGGACAUGGGCCAUGGAUGCAUCUUGGGUCUACCUGAAACCCUGAAAAUUGAUGGAACAUUUUGUGUAUGUGUAUUACUUCUAUACCUCUCUGUAGUGGUACAGGACCCAAUGAUACAAAAAAGUUUUAAGAAUGCAAAUGAAAUUAUAACCUAGCUAUUUCUUAUACAUAUAUUUCUGAUCAGAAGGAAUCACUAAUAAAUUUUUAAUGAAAUUAUAUUUUAUUUUAUCUUUACUUUUCCUUUUAUUCAAUGCUUAGUUUUUUAAAAAAAAUUCCUAUCUAGUUAGAAUUUAUAAUUACAAGGAAAUGAUUUGAAACUUUCAGGGCCCAUUAAUCUUACUCAAGUCUUCAGAGAUAAGGACAAUUGAAAAAAUUUUUUUCCAUCAGAAUGCGAUCCUGUAAUUAUUUUAAAGAAUGAUUGGAAAUAAUGUUAGGCAAGAAAUAACUAGAAUUUAUUUCACUAGUGCGUCCCUAGUGAAUCCCUUCCAAACUUCCACAGUGCCCCCUCUGAAUCCCAGUGAUUCUCUUCCCUCCCAAGUGCAAAACAUACUUAGCUCUUCCCAAGACACCCCAUGUUUUAUCUUGUUAGGUUAUCAGGAUCAGGUUUAAAGUCUAGAAUUUCAUUAUCCAAAUCGGGUCCAGAAUGAGUCUAGUCAAGUGAGAUGCUUUUUAAUCUGAAGGUCCGUAAAUCAGAAAUAAUUUAUCUGCCUUCCACUCACCCAGUGUUGAAUGAAGGGACAUGAUUAAUGCCGCUGGCAUAUCUAUCUAAAGCAGAAAAUAGAAGACAGAGAGAAGACAUUGUUCUACAGCAAUUUGGGAAUCCAGCUGGGCUCAGAUGAUAAUUCACCCUGCUUUGGAUGGAGGAAACGUAUGCUGAUUAAGGCCCAUUUCUGCUCCCUGAGAUUUAUUUACUUUUGGUUUUGGCUUUAUGCUUCGGGUUCUUGGCUUCAAACUGAGUCAUUGCUCUGUUUUCAUAAGACAUGCCCUAGGCUCUCAGCUAAGUACCUUCCAUUCCACAACCUGUUUUCUGCUCAAGGAAAUUUAAAGGCUCUGAGAAUUCUUUUCAUUUUGAAUGCCUGUCCCUUUCAGGUACAGUUGGUACAAUUAUUCAAUUAUUUUAAUAUUUUAUGUUGUUUUUAUGCAUUGUUGGAUUAUCUACUUUUGUAAGUUGGCUCCAUUAGAUAGACUCACAUCCACAUUUCUUUCUGAGAUAAUUCUUCUUGAGUCUGGAUUGCCCUUAUGAUUUUUAUGAGUCCUUGUCUAGUUAAGAGGGUGUAAAAUGCAAAUCUCUCAAAUUCAUAGCAGAUCUUUUUUCUAGGCAGGAAAAUCUGAAAACCAUACCCUUAAGAUUUUUGGAAAACAUUAGUUAGCUGAGUAGGUCUAGAAUGCAUACCCUUAUUAUUCUUAGAAGUCAUAUAUAUAUUUUUUCUAGCUGAGAAGGUCUACAAGGAACUGCCUUAAAUCUUUCUGAAGUCUUAACAAAGGGUCUUACAGAUGCUCUCUCAGUCUUAAAUUUAUCCUGAGGCCACAUUUUACAAAAAGAGCUCUGCAUUUGAUCUUUGCCCAGAUGCUGUUUCUUAGUGUGAAAAAUUUCUGCUAUCUACAAAGACUAGGUAUGAGAAACAGUUUUAAAUUUAAGCAAGAAAAUCUGUGCUUCCUAUACUUCCUUUAAAUUCUUAUAGAAAAGUUAAAAGUAUCUUCUGUAGUUCCAUUUUCUCUAUUUUUUCAUAUUGUAGGGGAGCAAAAUUUGCCUCCCCCCCCAUUAUGUCUUUAGCCUGUGGAUUAUUUCCAGCUGAAAACAAUCAAAGCCCAAGGGACUCAGGAAGAAACUUAAGACUUGCCCCCAACUGUCUAAAAAGAAUUUGCAGAGUGGGCUUAUUCCAGACAGGGAGAGCAUCACCAUAAAUAAGUAUAGUAAAAUACGAACUAGGUGUAGUAGAUAGGGAGGAACCCAGAAAAGUCUGUUAAAAUUUCAGUCUGUGUCCCGCUGCUUUUGUGGCCUAGUAACCAUUUGUUUACUGAAUGUUUGCUUUCCAUCUCUAUGUUAAUUUCUUUCCCUCCCUCUGAAGUUCCAAACCACUGCACUCACCAACUUCUUUUGUCUUUAGCUGAUGAUAUUUAUGAUGAGGGUUUUGGCCAUUCUGGUGAGUUACUCAAUUCCCCCAAGUCUCUCCCAUGUACAGUGACUCCUGAACAACACAUUUGAAUUCUGUAGAUCCACUUACACACAGAUUUUUUUUUUCAGUAAUGAAUACUACACAAUGUGUAUACUAUAUGUGUACACAUGUGCAAUAAGUGUAGUGUUGUUUGUAUUGCUAUAUGUAGUAACCAUAUAUAAUUGUUUGAAUACAUGGAUGAUGAACUGCAAAUGUGGAAGGAUUGCAUAUACAAAGAAACCGCAUAGAUAACUGACUAUAAAUUAUAUGCAGAUUUUUGAUUUUGUGGAAAGUUAGCAACUCUAACCCCCACAUUGUUCAAGGAUCAGCUAUAUACAUGUCAUUAAAUUUUUGUGUGAUUUUCUCCUGUUAAUCUAUCUCAUGUCAAUUUAAUGCUUAGAUCAGCCAGAAAAACUUAGAAGAUAUAUUUAGAAGGAAACUUAGAGGAAAAUUUCUUCCUAUCCAACCAUAUUAAGCUAAAAUAAACCAGUUGACACUUUUGAUAUUCUGCCAGGGAAACAAAAAACAAACAAAAAAAAUAACCUUCUGAGCUAUGUCAAAUAUCUCAUUAGGUAAAUUUUUGAUACCAAAGGCAGUAAUGUACCAAGGGGAACAGUCUACCCAGAUUCUAGGCAAUGAGAGAGUGUGUUGUCUGUGGAGAAUUUAAAAAUGAUACUGAAACUAAAAUUUAUUCUUCAUUUGAUCACUACUGAGUAGCAAUUACAAACCAUGUCACUAAAAAAAAAAAAAAAAAAAAAAAAAA